CUACGGGGGGCAGCAGUGGGGAAUAUUGGACAAUGGGGGAAACCCUGAUCCAGCAAUGCCGCGUGUGUGAAGAAGGCCUGCGGGUUGUAAAGCACUUUCGGUUGGGAGGACUGCUUCUAGCACUAAUAUUGUUGGAAGUUGACGUUACCUUCAGAAGAAGCACCGCUAACUCCGUGCCAGCAGCCGCGGUAAUACGGCGGGUGCAAGCGUUAAUCGGAAUUACUGGGCGUAAAGCGCGCGUAGGCGGCUAGAUCAGUCGGGUGUGAAAGCCCCGGGCUUAACCUGGGAACUGCAUCCGAUACUGUCUAGCUCGAGUACAGGAGAGGAGAGUGGAAUUCCACAUGUAGCGGUGAAAUGCGUAGAUAUGUGGAGGAACACCAAUGGCGAAGGCAGCUCUCUGGCCUGAUACUGACGCUGAGGUGCGAAAGCGUGGGGAGCAAACAGGAUUAGAUACCCGCGUAGUC
This 464-nucleotide ribosomal RNA is filed under the name uncultured bacterium. RNAcentral describes it as "partial 16S ribosomal RNA". It matches the Rfam family "Bacterial small subunit ribosomal RNA", at positions 339 to 795 of the family's 1533-position model. The record is from RNAcentral.